AGUGAUUUUUUUUUAAAUGGCCGCAGUACCUUGACUGUGCUAAGGUAGCAUAAUCAAUUGGCUUCUAAUUAAAGUCUGGAAUGAAAGGAAAUAUGAAGUAAUUCUGUCUUAAAAGAUUUUUUUUGAAUUUAUUUAAAUGAUGAAAAUAUCAUUUUGUAGAAAAAAGACGAGAAGACCCUUAGAGUUUUGAUAUUAUUAUAUUUUUGUUGGGGCGACAGGUAAACACUAUAACUUUACGAAAUAUUAUUGAUCGAUUUUUUAUAAGAAUAAUAAAACUACCUUAGGGAUAACAGCAUUAUAUAUUUUUUAUGAUUGUGACCUCGAUGUUGGACUAGGAACUUUAUGGCUAGCCGUCAAAAAAGAUUUGUUCUGUUCGAACAAUUUUAUCCUACAUGAUCUGAG
This 402-nucleotide ribosomal RNA is filed under the name Biomphalaria straminea. RNAcentral's name for it is "partial 16S ribosomal RNA". It matches the Rfam family "Bacterial large subunit ribosomal RNA", at positions 1911 to 2609 of the family's 2925-position model. Lineage: Eukaryota; Metazoa; Mollusca; Gastropoda; Planorbidae. The record is from RNAcentral.